Molecule: unclassified non-coding RNA, 213 nt
Filed under: plant metagenome
Description: partial contains small subunit ribosomal RNA, internal transcribed spacer 1, and 5.8S ribosomal RNA
Source: RNAcentral
UUUCCGUAGGUGAACCUGCGGAAGGAUCAUUAAAAAUGAAGCCGGGAAACCGGUCCUUCUCACCCUUGAUUAUCUCAAAUUGUUGCUUUGGUGGGCCGCGCAAGCACCGGCUUCGGCUGGAUUGUGCCCGCCAGAGGACCACAACUCUGUAUUAUGUGUCGUCUGAGUACUAUAAAAUAGUUAAAACUUUCAACAACGGAUCUCUUGGUUCUG